UGGAUAUACAAGCGGAGGAGGAGGAGGAGGAAGAGGGGUAGGGUUAGGGUUUGCAAGCGGUGUAGGUGGAGUUGGAUUAUUAGUUGAAGUAGAAGGUGGAGGAGAAAAAGCAAUGGUGUUAUCAGAAGAAGGAGGAGUUGGUGAUGUUGUUGGGAGGUUGAAAAUGGGGGAAGGAACAAAGGUAGUAGUAACAGUAGGAGGAGGAGGAGGAGGAGAAUAAGUGACGGUGGUGGUGCAAGAUGAAUAAUCAUCAGAGGAGCAUUUGGUGCGGUGGUGACGGUGGCGGAGGAGGCGGAAUCCUAGUACAAGACCAAGAACAAUGAACACAGUGAGUAAGAAGAAGAAGAUCUUUGUUGCUUUACCAACAUAGCACAUAAUUCUGAAUCUGAGUUUCAAAGAUUGAACUGUGGUAAGAGGUUACAAUAGACAUAAACUGAAUUUGACCCUUGGAUUUGGUUAUUAGGUAGCUUUAAUUUAUGACUGUGUCCACCUACACCAAAUAAACAAAGAUUCUUUAUAGUAUUUUACUUAUUCCAAUCAAUAAAUAUGGAAUAUCAAAUGAAAUAAUAAGAAGGUGGAUACAAAAUUGAGGUGAACGAGGAUGGAUCACAAGUUACAAUAAUUAUUCAACCGUUAAAAGUGGGGAUAGUCUAUAUAUAAUUAUUAUCAUACACAAUCUAUCCUGACAGACAUGCAUGUCUGCCACAUCACCCUUCCUUCCCUCCUCUCCUCCAAUUACUUCACUCCAUCGUGAAGAAUAUCACAUAUCUCAUAAUUUUUCUUUCCUCAUAUUGUAAAUCAAUCAAACUUCUCGAAAUAAUAUUAAAAUAGUAAUUCUUUUUAUAAUUUUUCUUUUUAAAUGAAUGAAGUUUUUUAAUUUGUUUGGGACACCAUAUGAGACAUGAAUGAGGAUAUGUGAUCCACAUCCCUCCACCGUACCUUCAUAUCUAAAGGAAAAUGAUAUAUGUCACUUAUAAACUAAUCACUAGUAAAUAACAUAUGUGCAUAUAAAUAAAUAAUAAAAUAAGAUACUAAUUAUGUAUAAAUCUUUAUACUAAUAGUAUAUAAAUAUUACAAGAUUACCCUAAGCUAAUACGUGUGUUUUAAGCAUUUCAAAUUUUAUUCUUCAUGUAAUUAUAAUUCAAAAUUUAAAUCAACAUUUCUUGCAGGAAGAGAACGGGUUAUCCUAAAUAUUUGUCACCUUAGAUUUAAAGCUAAUUCGACCCUAAAUGUUGAUUGUGUCUGUCUUUGAACCCAAACUCGACCAUAGACUCAGUUAAAUAUAAUGCAUAUAUGUUAGAUUAUUUGGCGUAUAAAAUUAUAUAUAUGUUCUUAAUCAUGUAUAUGUUAUGAAAAAUUAGAUAAUAAGUGGGAAAAUUUACGUGGAUAGUGUAGUCAAACUACACUAUCACACGUUUGGUAUAUGUUUCAAAAUAUUUACGGAAGUGUAUUUUUAGGGAAGUCGUGGAUGGUACCCACGACUUUGGGGGAAAGUCGUGGAUGAGAUCCACGAUUUUGGGGAAGUCGUGGAUCCCAUCCACGACUCCCUGACAUAUUCUCUCUCCAUGGAAGUCGUGUACCCUAAACACGACUUCCAUUGUAUAAUAAUGACAAAAGAGAUAUGUAGCCUAGUGGUUCUUGGAUUUUAUGGAAACCUAGAGGUCUAUGGUUCAACACCCACCUAUUGUUUUUUUUAUUUAACUUUUUUUAUAACUUUGACAUAUAUUAUUUUUACAAGGAUAUGAUACAUUAUGGUUAAAUUGCAUUAUAUUCAUUACUGAAUUUUGUACAUUUUUAUUUUAUAUUGUUUUAAACAAUUAGGUAAUGUAUAAAAUUUGGUAGUGAAUAUAAUGCAAUAUACUCAUAAUGUAUCAUAGUUCUAUAUUUAAAAAGAAAGAACUUAAGACAGGAACAAAAAGAGCAAAGAUUCAAGCUCCAUAGAAAAAGAGAAUUGACACUAGAGUAUUGAAGAAUACCUCAUAGUAUUUUAUUAUUAAAUUGAAUGAAAAAGUAAGCUAAUAUGACUUAUUUAUAUAAGAGAAAAAAAAAAAAUUUAUAAAACAAGCAAACUUACACAAACCUAAUUAACUAAUUCUUAACUUCCUAAUUAACUAAGCGACCAUCUUCCGAAAAUUACCCGUAAAAUAUCUUUAAUAAUGUAUGGAUUUAUGGUGAUGGCAUAAAAUUUGUUACCAUUGUAACAAAUGAUUGCAUAAACUAAUUAAAUAGUUUAGAAAAUGACUUUUAUCCUAUGCAAUUUAAGAAGAAACUGUAGUACAUUGCAGAUGACAAUUUUGAGAAAAAUAUAUAUACCAAAGAAGCUACUCCAAAUUGAUUUUCUAUUAAAUACACAUUCUAUAUUUAUUUGUUAAGCAAUCCUUCACGAAUAUUUAACCCAUUAGACAUAUUUUUUAUUGUUAUUAUCAUAUGCCCUUUAUAUUAUAGUGAAUCUACUAUUAUUCCUGCCAUAUACAAAUGAAUGAAUACUUCUACAUCUUUGCACAUUAUUACGACCCUUUUCCAUUUGCCAAAUAAAAUUUUCAAACAACAUUCCAAGUUAAACAAUUGGAUCCCCCUUCAUCCUUUCUAACUACAUGUUACAUCAAUCAAGCUAAUGAAGCAAUUACACAUUAUUAUUAUUAUUAUUAGAAUAAUAAGGAGAGUAAAUUAAUCUACUAUCAAAAAUAUUAUUAGAGAAUAAGAUUAACAAUUCUAACCAUAUAAGUGCUAUACCUUAUUGGGUCGAGUUAGAAUCAUCUCUAGACUGAAACAAUCUUAGUUCAUUCGGAUCAUGGUUGGUGUCGAUCCACGACUGUGGCCUUGAGCAUGGAACACUCCACAAGCAUGCAUGGGGGCUUCUAGGGUUGUGGAGCAUAGAAAACCGUGAUCCGGUUUUAUCUACUCAUUUGUACAAAAUAACAUCCGGAUUAGCUUGAGACAGGGAGUGUGACACUGGGAUCAGUCCCGAUACAAGAUGACAUCAUAUAAAGGCCAAUUGACUGCAUCAGAAUCCAAUGACCGCAAUAGCAUGGACUGGUCCAGGAGAUACCAACGCCGAACCCGGUGUAGGUGUGUCCAUUGGCGGUGCUGCAACACUCGGAGGACUAGUCUCCGGCGGUGGUGGAUAUACAAGCGGAGGAGGAGGAGGAGGAAGAGGGGUAGGGUUAGGGUUUGCAAGCGGUGUAGGUGGAGUUGGAUUAUUAGUUGAAGUAGAAGGUGGAGGAGAAAAAGCAAUGGUGUUAUCAGAAGAAGGAGGAGUUGGUGAUGUUGUUGGGAGGUUGAAAAUGGGGGAAGGAACAAAGGUAGUAGUAACAGUAGGAGGAGGA
RNAcentral lists this long non-coding RNA (3326 nucleotides) under Lupinus angustifolius (narrow-leaved blue lupine). RNAcentral describes it as "long non-coding RNA (LANG_LNC001142)". Lineage: Eukaryota; Viridiplantae; Streptophyta; Magnoliopsida; Fabales; Fabaceae. The record is from RNAcentral.